GACGAACGCUGGCGGCGUGCUUAACACAUGCAAGUCGAACGGAAAGGCCCAGCUUGCUGGGUACUCGAGUGGCGAACGGGUGAGUAACACGUGGGUGAUCUGCCCUGGACUCUGGGAUAAGCCUGGGAAACUGGGUCUAAUACCGGAUAUGACCUUACAUCGCAUGGUGUUUGGUGGAAAGCUUUUGCGGUUCAGGAUGGGCCCGCGGCCUAUCAGCUUGUUGGUGGGGUAAUGGCCUACCAAGGCGACGACGGGUAGCCGACCUGAGAGGGUGAUCGGCCACACUGGGACUGAGGCACGGCCCAGACUCCUACGGGAGGCAGCAGUGGGGAAUAUUGCACAAUGGGCGCAAGCCUGAUGCAGCGACGCCGCGUGAGGGAUGACGGCCUUCGGGUUGUAAACCUCUUUCACCAGGGACGAAGCGUGAGUGACGGUACCUGGAGAAGAAGCACCGGCCAACUACGUG
This 466-nucleotide ribosomal RNA is filed under the name uncultured bacterium. Its description in RNAcentral is "partial 16S ribosomal RNA". It matches the Rfam family "Bacterial small subunit ribosomal RNA", at positions 28 to 507 of the family's 1533-position model. The record is from RNAcentral.